Molecule: long non-coding RNA, 1021 nt
Organism: Anneissia japonica
Lineage: Eukaryota; Metazoa; Echinodermata; Crinoidea; Comatulida; Comatulidae
Exons: 2
Source: RefSeq, a predicted model, not a curated record
AGAAAUUGCGAGAUGCGCUAUCUUUAAAGUAGUUAAUAAUCUUUGAUGUCAAAGUUGAAAAGUAGUCACUUUUGUGAGUGGGCGCCCUACUGAACACUGCAUUAUUACAGAACUUGCACACAGAAAUCGUGGAGAACGCUCUCUUUUAAUUAUAAGCUCUUUGAAGGAAACCAAGCUAAAGACACACUAAUGACUUGGACAAUAUAUAAGCUUAUAAUUUUUUUUUUAUAAUUUUGAUUGUCCGUAAGGACCAGCAGUGUUCAUUUCGCAAGGUAUUAUCCAGCACGGAUAAUACAAGAAGUGCUACUAAGGACUGCUUGUACAAGAAGGGCUACGAAGCUCUCUACACGCCAUUCUUCAUGAAUAAACAAGUAAUGCAAGAGGUAGCCCAGCUUAGCCAGUUUGAUGAAAGACUUUAUAAGGUUAUUGGCAAAGGCAGCGAGAAAGCCGAAGACACAACGUAUGAGGAAAAGUACCCGAUAGCAACCUCUGAACAACCAAUCGCAAUUUUGCUCAAUUCAGAUUUUUCAAUAUUGCUUAGCUUAAAAAUUGCUUAAAAUUAAAGAGUUAAUUUUACGCAUCAUGUGCCAUCUAAGAAGAUUUUAAAGCUAAGAUUUUUUUAAAGAUGGUUUAAUAAAUCAGCUUAAGAUCUUUGCUUAGGAACAUACUUUUUUCACUUAAGACAUUUGCUAAGCUGAGAUUGAUAAAUAUUGUGCCAAACCCCUAAGUAAACUGAAUCACUACAAAGUAUUGCUAGAGUACCAAUCUUAUCCAGUCACAACAAUAUGUCAUCCUCCCAAAACAUUAAAUUUUUGUUUAUGAAAUAACUUACUUGUUAGAACUAUAGACAAAAAGCUAAUGAACAUCGUAUAAACGUUUUUCACACUUCUGUCGUAUUGAUUAGGGAACAUUAAAAAUUCACAUUUAUCUAUCAAAAACUCUUAUCAAAAUUUGUAUUUCUAUGUAGUGAUUGAAUUAAAUUGUGGCAAAUUUUAGUAUACGCCUGAUAAUAUGCAAAUAA